AGUGAACGCUGGCGGUAGGCCUAACACAUGCAAGUCGAACGGCAGCACAGUAAGAGCUUGCUCUUACGGGUGGCGAGUGGCGGGCGGGUGAGGAAUACAUCGGAAUCUACUUUUUCGUGGGGGAUAACGUAGGGAAACUUACGCUAAUACCGCAUACGACCUACGGGUGAAAGCAGGGGAUCUUCGGACCUUGCGCGAUUGAAUGAGCCGAUGUCGGAUUAGCUAGUUGGCGGGGUAAAGGCCCACCAAGGCGACGAUCCGUAGCUGGUCAGAGAGGAUGAUCAGCCACACUGGAGCUGAGACACGGUCCAGACUCCUACGGGAGGCAGCAGUGGGGAAUAUUGGACAAUGGGCGCAAGCCUGAUCCAGCCAUACCGCGUGGGUGAAGAAGGCCUUCGGGUUGUAAAGCCCUUUUGUUGGGAAAGAAAAGCAGCAGGUUAAUACCCCGCUGUUCUGACGGUACCCAAAGAAUAAGCACCGGCUAACUUCGUG
This 492-nucleotide ribosomal RNA is filed under the name uncultured bacterium. RNAcentral describes it as "partial 16S ribosomal RNA". It matches the Rfam family "Bacterial small subunit ribosomal RNA", at positions 29 to 507 of the family's 1533-position model. The record is from RNAcentral.